AAGGAAGUGAUGUGUGGGUCCAGGGUCCUCACAGAAAGUGAACUCUGCACAGAGGGAGAAAGAUGUAAAAGACCUUUGGAAUACAUUUUAGCCACAUGCAAGUUAUCACUUGUGCAAAUUCCACCUUACACUCACAGGCGGCAGGCUCUCUCCAAGGAUGUCGCUACAUGACUCUUGUUCCAUGGAGAGUCAUUUGCUGACAAAUUACAGAACAAACUUCUUUCACAUAUAUAUGACAUUGCUAAGGAAAUGCAGCUCUGAUUUCUCUACCUCAUUCUGGCCGCCCUGUGGCCUGUGGAUGUCCUGGGCCAGGGAUAAGAUCUGAGCUACAGUUGUGACCUACACUUAAGAGGCAGCAAUGCCAGAUCCUUUAACCCAUUGUGUCAGACCAGGAUUGGAUCUACAUCUUGGUGCUGCAGAGAUGCUGCCGAUCCCCUUGUGCCACAGUGGGAACUCCUUUACAUCAUUUGUAAACUGCUUUUUGAUCUAACUAGACAUCUUACUUUUUCUUUCCUUCAUCCUCUCACUUAGCCAUAGAAGACCAAGAAGGCCACUGACAUCAUAGACAGAUUGCUCUUACUGUGAACUCUCUUCCUGUGACAUGUCACAUCCUCAGAGCAGAGGUCGCCCUCCUGGAAGAAACCAAUGUUUUGUGAGGCAUUCAAAGUCACAAUCCAGAGUUCCUUUCAGAACAACUGAAAGAAAGAAAAGACAGAUUUAUUCGCCGAAGCGAUGGAGAAGGAUAUUAGGACAAACGUCUAUGUGGAAAAAACAAUCCAACGUACGCAUUUCUUGGGUGAAAAGAUACACAGCGUUUUCAGAGGCUUUUCCCCCGCUCAUCUUAAUGAAGGUGAAUUAUUUAACACAGUUAAAUAAUCUCCAGUUUUCAAUUUAAUGAGACUUACCAGCCCUACGUUUGGCACAUUCUCUUCUAUUAAGCUUUCAGCUAAACCCCAGAGAUAAAAGGUGUUUUACUUCAAAGAAAUCUGAUUUGUUUUUUAUCUAGUAUAUUCAACUGGCAUAAAUUCAGGCAUACCACAUCAGACCUCAGUGAAAUCUGUGUUAGAAGUUUCCCUUUGUUUUCAAAGUCCUUAUAAAUAGCUUUCUUCCAAGCUAUACCUGGUCUUUGUGAACAGAAUGAGUAAGGUUUGAGUGUGUAGGUAAACACAUUUGUAGGAGUCUGUAGAUUUAGGGCCUGGGCUGUUAAGGCAGAUCUGGAAACUGUAAGAGAAUAGCUAAGUAAACUAAAAAAAUAUUAGAGAAUAGAUAGGUUUUUUUAAAAAAAUAGAAAGUCAGUUUAUCUAGAUGUGUGACCAUGACAAGUCCAGUUGUGCUCACUCGACUGAAAGGUCACUGUGUACUUUGGGGAUUCUGUGGGGUUCCCCCCCAAGCACUGCCGAUAGCAGACACAGCUGGGCAGGAG
RNAcentral lists this long non-coding RNA (1423 nucleotides) under Sus scrofa (pig). RNAcentral describes it as "lncRNA (ENSSSCG00055001073.1)". The record is from RNAcentral. Lineage: Eukaryota; Metazoa; Chordata; Mammalia; Artiodactyla; Suidae.